UUUCCGUAGGUGAACCUGCGGAAGGAUCAUUGUCGAAUCCUGCGAAGCAGACGACCCGUGAACUUGUUUAACCCACGGGCGUCGGGACGUGGGGAACCGCGGACCGGCGCCCCACGCACGGCGUCGGCCAUUGGUCGCUCGUCGGGCGAGAAACUAAACCCGGGCGCAGAAAAGCGCCAAGGAAAACGAGAAAAGGAUGGCCUGCCUCUCGACGCCCCGUACGCGGUGUGCACGAGGGGAGCACAGGCACCUGUACAAAACUAAAACGACUCUCGGCAACGGAUAUCUCGGCUCUCGCAUCGAUGAAGAACGUAGCGAACUGCGAUACUUGGUGUGAAUUGCAGAAUCCCGUGAACCAUCGAGUCUUUGAACGCAAGUUGCGCCCGAAGCCAUCCGGCAUAGGGCACGUCUGCCUGGGCGUCACGCAUCGCGUCGCCCCCCUAACCCCGUGGACCUUCAUCGGUUGCGGGCGACUGGAGGGGGCGGAAAAUGGCUUCCCGUGCCCCUGGUGCGGCUGGCCUAAAUGCGAGUCCCUUGCGACGGACGCGACGACAAGUGGUGGUUGAUUGUCUCAACUCGAGUGCUGUCGCGCGAGGCCCCGUUGAAAGAGGAGACUCUGCCCCGACCCUACAGCAUGUGUCGCCAUGACGCAUGUCACGACCGCGACCCCAGGUCAGGC
This 679-nucleotide unclassified non-coding RNA is filed under the name Fagraea ceilanica. RNAcentral's name for it is "partial contains small subunit ribosomal RNA, internal transcribed spacer 1, 5.8S ribosomal RNA, and internal transcribed spacer 2". The stretch from base 268 to 423 matches the Rfam family "5.8S ribosomal RNA". The record is from RNAcentral. Lineage: Eukaryota; Viridiplantae; Streptophyta; Magnoliopsida; Gentianales; Gentianaceae.